GUGUUCCUCGGAACCAUUCAUUGCACAAAGAUUUAAAUCACUAAAAUACGACUUGACACUCAACCUAUUCUUGUGAAAUGCAGGUACAAGGAUAUGAUGAGAGGAAUGCCCCCACUAAACCGAGCAUCCCGGGAUGGGUCACUUUGAGAGGAUGUCGAUCGACUCUUCGAGAUACUCGAGAGACUUAUCUCUGCCUAACAAGUUUGGAAGAGAUGAAGGAGCUGUUUGACCCUCCACCAUUGCCACAUUAUGAG
This 254-nucleotide long non-coding RNA is filed under the name Carica papaya (papaya). RNAcentral's name for it is "long non-coding RNA (CPAP_LNC014461)". The record is from RNAcentral. Lineage: Eukaryota; Viridiplantae; Streptophyta; Magnoliopsida; Brassicales; Caricaceae.